UUUGACUAUCUACGCCGGUAAAGAUACACCUGUUCCCAUGCCGAACACAGUAGUUAAGCUUCUUAACGCCGAAAGUAGUUGGUGGGAAACUGUCUGCGAGGAUAGGAAGCUGCCGCGC
This 118-nucleotide ribosomal RNA is filed under the name Lactobacillus delbrueckii. The record is from RNAcentral. Lineage: Bacteria; Bacillati; Bacillota; Bacilli; Lactobacillales; Lactobacillaceae.